RNAcentral lists this ribosomal RNA (159 nucleotides) under uncultured bacterium. RNAcentral's name for it is "partial 16S ribosomal RNA". It matches the Rfam family "Bacterial small subunit ribosomal RNA", at positions 373 to 525 of the family's 1533-position model. The record is from RNAcentral.
GGGCGAAACCUGACCAGCGACGCCGCGUGAGGGAAGAAGGUCUUCGGAUCGUAAACCUCUGUCAGGAGGGAAGAAGUUAUAUGCUUUUAACAGGGGCAUAUAUUGACGGUACCUCCAGAGGAAGCGCCGGCCAACUCCGUGCCAGCAGCCGCGGUAAUA